Molecule: ribosomal RNA, 250 nt
Filed under: Sarcophaga peregrina
Lineage: Eukaryota; Metazoa; Arthropoda; Insecta; Diptera; Sarcophagidae
Description: partial 16S ribosomal RNA
Source: RNAcentral
UUCUAAAGUUUAUAAUAGAAUUUUAUUUUUUAGUCAAAAAGCUAAAAUAAUAUUAAAAGACGAGAAGACCCUAUAAAUCUUUAUAUAUAGAUUAUUAGAAUUUCAUAGAUUUUUUUUGUUAUAAUAAUUAAUUGUAUUUUAUUGGGGUGAUAUUAAAAUUUAAUAAACUUUUAAUUUUAAAAAUCAUUAAUUUAUGAAUAAUUGAUCCGUUAAUAACGAUUAGAAAAAUAAGUUACCUUAGGGAUAACAG